GCCUUGUCGUUAACAGUCAGAUUUGUAUAGGAAGUGAUUCAAUGUAACAAUGAGUCCGUCCAAAUUCGUUGUGUGCGUAUUGCUGAUUUUUGUUAAGUCGGAAUUGGUCCCGGAAUCGAACAUGACACAAUUGGACUCAAUGCCCCUCCAGAGUCUGGAGAAAGAUCCCAAACCCUCCGACUUUCAUUUUCUAAUCACAGGCGGAUAUCGGCCAAAAACAAACAAACUGGUCAAAUAUGUGGUUUCGCUGCGAUUGGGCAAUUCCAAGAAGUUCUUCGGGGAUAACCACUAUUGCGCGGGUGCGAUCUUCAGCUCACGGGCCAUUCUUACGGCUGCCCAUUGCCUAUAUAGUAAUCGCCGCAAGCUGACGCCCAAGAAGUUGACGGUCAUCGCUGGUACGCCAAAGAGGCUGGUGAAAAGCGACUCUACACAGAUUGUUCAGGCCCACAAGCUACUUCCGCACCCCAAGUACAAGAAGGGCAAGUCCCAGAAAUAUGACAUAGGAAUAGUGCUGAUGAAAGAGGAUCUCAGUCUGGGGGGCUCUGUCGCCAGUAUACCUCUGUAUAAUAAGGCUCCAGUGGCCGGAGUCCAGUGCAGCAUCAUUGGCUGGGGAACAGUCAUACAGUACGGCCCACUUCCCGAUGAGGUGAUCAAUGGAGAUGUGAAAAUCCUGCCCAACACUUUUUGCCGAAAGCUCCUUGGCUGGAGCAGCACAGGCAUGCUCUGCGCCAACGACCAGAGCAACACCGAGGUGGACAGCUGCCAGGGCGACUCGGGCGGCCCGCUCAUCUGUGACAACAAGGUGACCGGCAUCGUGUCCUUUGGCACGGGUUGCGGCGAACCCGAUUCGGCGGGAAUCUACACCGAUGUCUACCACUUUCGGGACUGGAUCAACGAAAACUCUUGCCCACGGGCCUUAUGUCCGAUGCGGACCCUGUUGAUCCUGGUGUUGCAGCUCCAACUGACCUUUCUGGCCAUUAUUAGGGGUGUAUUCUAGCGCCUUGUGCCCGUUAGGACGUCAUUCAACAGGCGGUUAGUGCAACAAACUACUAAGUUAUCGAGUCAUCCGGCGAGCGGCAGGCUGAAAGCCUCCAAACCUGCAGGCGACAAACCAAAAUUGACUAAAACUAGCGGCCGUGGCCUGUCAUCCGUCGCCAUGGAAGAGGAUGUGGAAGUGAUGGCAGGUAGCGAUGGCGGUGGACAUGCGAGUACGAAUGCGAGGCCAAUGGCAAGUGGCGAGUGUGGACGAGAAUGGAGGACGGCAAAAUGUGGUGCCAACCGCGCCAUUACCCGCGCACACAUGCACACACACGAACUCCCUGAAUGGACCAUGGAAUGGGUGGGACAACGGUUUAUGGUUACGCUGAUGCUGAUGCCGAUCCACAUUCACAUCCACUGUUUGUGACAGCAAUUAUCGCAUCACGAACAGGGGAGUCCUCCUAUCCUCCUGUCCUCCAACCAACCAACCGCCCACCCAUCCACACAGCCAUCCCGGCCACACGGCAUAUCAAGCAGCGAAGACAAUAUGCAACAAUUCGCGUUGGUUAAUUUUGGUCACUCGCCAACUGUUGAUUAGACCAAUUAGGGGCAACCAAUUAGGUGGCCUGGUCCAGAUUAUAGGAAGCUCUGCGCCAGAAAACUGGGCCAGUGGUAUGGCCGUUUGGUUUGGAUGCAAGGUGACCAGAUCAGCGUAGUUCCCUGGUCUACCGGAUCCAGACGAAUCUCUAGUAGAAAUCAGUGCGGAAGCAAGUUGAUUUGAUAUCAGAGCAAUGCAAUUAGAAAUCCCACACGCACACCCCAAUCACUCGCACAUAUAGUACGAUUGAAAAAGCCAAGAGAUGGGGAGACCUCAGGAACACAAGUCACGAACGUGUUGCGUCCCCAGCAAGGGAAGCUUGGUGCUCCGUGCUCCAUGCUCCGGGCUACAGGCUCCAGAUUCCAGGCAAGGCCAUUGUGGAACAGCCUCGACGACGACACACGACCGGCAAAGGCAAAACAAUGUUGAAUUGAUGUGGGACUCCAAGGGACUCCGAGGGACCAACCGACACAACCCGACCCCAUCUCGCCCAGAAGCCAGAACCCAGGCCAGACACAUAUUUACAGACAUUCAGGCAUUCGCAAUCAGAGCAUAUGGAAUAUAUACUGCGUAAACUGACAUUUUCUGGAGUUCCGGCUAACCCUUUUCCACGCGAAUUGGGGAGUUUCAAGUUCCACCAGUUGUGCCCCUUCUGCACUCCGUCGGACAAUCGCACGUUGAGCCGCAAACUGGCGGAUCCAGUGCCAGGAAAGCAGUAGUUGGCAGGAGAUCCGCCUCAUCCUCUGCUCCAUUGCAUUAUGUGAAUAGUGAAACAGCUUGGCACAAUCUACUAGCUCUGGUCGUUGAACCCCGGCAACCGGACCAUCUGAACGUCGGACCAGGUACACAUGCAGCGGAGUGCGAGUGUCCGAGCCGUACAAGCGGCUUAUUCGCGGCACAGCAGGACUCGCGCCUGCUGACAAAUCGACGGCUAAGCUGCAACGUCAACACGUCGACCACAACCACGGACCAACCCACCCGGAUUCGGAUCCGGAUCCGGACCAGCGCAGGGCACGCGUU
Molecule: RNA transcript, 2596 nt
Organism: Drosophila biarmipes
Lineage: Eukaryota; Metazoa; Arthropoda; Insecta; Diptera; Drosophilidae
Gene name: anionic trypsin-2
Exons: 4
Source: RefSeq, a predicted model, not a curated record